UACGUAGGGGGCAAGCGUUGUUCGGAAUUACUGGGCGUAAAGGGCUUGUAGGUGGCCAACUAAGUCAGACGUGAAAUCCCUCGGCUUAACCGGGGAACUGCGUCUGAGACUGGAUGGCUUGAGUGUGGGAGAGGGAUGCGGAAUUCCAGGUGUAGCGGUGAAAUGCGCAGAUAUCAGGAAGAACACCAAUGGCGAAAGCAGCUCUCUGGGACGGUACUGACGCUGAGACGCGAAAGCGUGGGGAGCGAACAGG
RNAcentral lists this ribosomal RNA (253 nucleotides) under uncultured bacterium. RNAcentral describes it as "partial 16S ribosomal RNA". It matches the Rfam family "Bacterial small subunit ribosomal RNA", at positions 524 to 776 of the family's 1533-position model. The record is from RNAcentral.